AUGGAAUUAGGUGAGAAUAAGAAAAAGAAUGUUAGAGGAGAAAGAAGAAACAAAAAGGUUCUUGAAGAUAUUGGAAAUCUUAUGAUUAAUCCAGCAUAUCCUCAUUCUGAUAAGCCUAAGCGCAUCACAAGGAAUCAAUUAGCUUCUAUUGCUCAAGCAGUAAAGAAGAACAAGAUAUUAGUAGUUGAGGCUGUCAAUGGAAACUUUGUUGUUGUAAAAAAAUCUAAGAAACCUACUGCAUAUGAAGUUAUUGUCAUCAGCUCUAAUGAAGAAUCUGAAGUGACAGAGAUAUGA
Non-coding RNA from Vicia faba (fava bean), 294 nucleotides. The record is from the annotation of a GenBank genome assembly. NCBI's taxonomy places the organism in Eukaryota, Viridiplantae, Streptophyta, Magnoliopsida, Fabales, Fabaceae.